CAAGAGAAUCGCUUGAACCCGGGAGGUGGAGGUUGCGGUGAGCCAAGAUUGUGCCAUUGCACUCCAGCCUGGGCAACAAGAGUGAAACCCCAUCUCAAAAAAAAAAAAAAAAAAUUGGACUGUAUAUGAUGCCAAUUUUUCAGAAGAAAUAAGGUCAGAAGGAGAAAUGAGAGAGUAAAUGUAUUAGCACUGCAAAAAAUGGCUUCUCAGAGGUAAUGGGAUUUGACCUGGGCUUCAAAAGAUGGAAAAAGAUUUAGAAAACUAGAGGAUGUGUAUCAACUCUUCAAAGUGAAGGGACCAACAUAAGCAGAGUCAGAAAGUCCAAGUGCAUGUGUGCAGGGGGCAGAGAAGAGACCACCAGCUUGAAGAAUUCUUCCUGAGAAAUAAUAGGAGGUAAAAUUGGGUUGUUAGGGUGGGGCCAAAUUAUAGAGGGCCUGCACAGGAAGGCAGAGGAAUUUGGAUUUGAUGUGGGAGUCAGUGAGGCUUUCUAAAUUAUUGAGUAGUGGUUUAAGAGGUUACCCUGCUGCGUGGUACAGGAGAAAUGAAAGAAUCUAAGAGCAGCCAGCAAUCCAGAGAGGGGUAAGGGGUCACAGGGUGGAGGCAGUAGGAGUCACAGGCCAAAUCUGAGAGUUGCAGCGGAGGAGUCACUUGUGAGUCUUCUGAUGCCUGAGGAUGAGAGAGGAAGAAGAAGGCAAUAGAGGUGACUCCAUCAAUUAUAGUUGUGCCUUUAAUUUUAAAAAGGACAAAUGAGCAAAUCUGGGUCUUGGUAGUAAUAUUUGAGUUUGGCUUUAGACAUGGUGAAUUACCUGCAAAUGAUGAACUAAGGGGUAGUAUUCUGAAGAUCUAAAAUAGGCAUUGGGGAGUCCCUCUGAGCCUUUUCUGGCUCAGGAGGUUGCCGAUAAAAUUUAAAAAAAUAAAAUAGGCAUCGGAAUCCAUGAAACGUAUGGUUUCUCUAAGGGAGGCAAGUUAGAAAUGAGCAGAAACAGAGGCAGGGGCUGGGGCUAAGGGCCUGGCUUGUGGAGUCUGAAGAUGAGUCAGUAAAAAAGCUGCUGGAGACACCAGAGAGGAACUGAGAAUGAAUAAUAUCCUUGAAGAAGAGAGAACCAUUGUUUCAAGAGGAGGAUGAAGAUGCAAAUAGUCAGAGGUGUGAGUUGGAGCCAGGAAUCUCUACAAACUCAUUCCAG
Molecule: long non-coding RNA, 1184 nt
Filed under: Pan troglodytes (chimpanzee)
Lineage: Eukaryota; Metazoa; Chordata; Mammalia; Primates; Hominidae
Description: long non-coding RNA NONPTRT001395
Source: RNAcentral